UGUGGCCUCUCACAGUAUAAAAGCAGUAAGAAAAGCAGUCAGUUCACUGCUGUGUCUGUGGAUCUGCACUCCAGCACUCAGUUUGGAUCUGAUCUGAAAUUGCAAAAUGUACGGCAUGAACUCAGGAAACCGCUGUUAUCCUCAGCCAAUGGGAGGAGGAGGAUACCCUCAGUGUCCUCCAGGUCCUGCACCUCCUCAGAUGUGUCCUCCUCAGCCCUGCCCUCCUCAGUUUGGUGGCCCAUAUGUGUGCUACCCUGCAGGUGGAUUUGGCGGUUCAGGGUCUGGCUACUGUCCUCAGCCAAUGCCACCCUGCCCUCCUCCGCCUUCAUAUGUGUGCUAUCCCACACCCCCACGUUGUCCAUGGUGAGGACCAGGGCCUGGUGGAUGUGGCUGUAGGUCCUUGGCAGUCAGGCAGCUCCUGCAGCAGCGACUCUGAGGUGAAGACGUCUGGAUGGGAGGAGACACAAGACGAGCUGCCGCCUGGAAACCUUCAUCCUGCUGCCGAUUCUCAUCACGAUCAGUUCAGUUCAGCGCUUCACAUUCAAAUUUCUCUGUUUUAAAGCUUCUGUGUAAUGGGACGUCAUGUUUGCUGUGUUUGUUUCAUGUAUCAGACGCUCAUCGUAAUUGCAUUCAUUUCAUUCAAGCAGUUCAUUUCUCCAGCACUUCAACCUCUUCAUUCUCCUUCUUCUGUAAUCUUAUGUCAAUUAA
Long non-coding RNA from Scatophagus argus, 708 nucleotides. RefSeq lists it as uncharacterized. The transcript is spliced from 4 exons. The record is from RefSeq and is a predicted model, not a curated record. Lineage: Eukaryota; Metazoa; Chordata; Actinopteri; Scatophagidae.